This 71-nucleotide transfer RNA is filed under the name Bos taurus (domestic cattle). It matches the Rfam family "tRNA". Rfam says of the family: Transfer RNA (tRNA) molecules are approximately 80 nucleotides in length. RNAcentral also lists the same sequence under 3 other names. Lineage: Eukaryota; Metazoa; Chordata; Mammalia; Artiodactyla; Bovidae. The record is from Rfam by way of RNAcentral.
UCCACAGUGGCUCAGUGGUAAAGAAUCUGCAUGCAAUGCAGGAGACGUGGGUUUGAUCCCUGACUUUGGAA